This 425-nucleotide ribosomal RNA is filed under the name uncultured bacterium. RNAcentral's name for it is "partial 16S ribosomal RNA". It matches the Rfam family "Bacterial small subunit ribosomal RNA", at positions 354 to 796 of the family's 1533-position model. The record is from RNAcentral.
GUGGGGAAUCUUGCGCAAUGGGCGAAAGCCUGACGCAGCCAUGCCGCGUGAAUGAUGAAGGUCUUAGGAUUGUAAAAUUCUUUCACCGGGGACGAUAAUGACGGUACCCGGAGAAGAAGCUCCGGCUAACUUCGUGCCAGCAGCCGCGGUAAUACGAAGGGGGCUAGCGUUGCUCGGAAUUACUGGGCGUAAAGGGCGCGUAGGCGGACAGCUUAUUCAGAGGUGAAAGCCCAGGGCUCAACCUUGGAAUUGCCUUUGAUACUGGCUGUCUUGAGUUUGUGAGGGGUGAGUGGAACUCCGAGUGUAGAGGUGAAAUUCGUAGAUAUUCGGAAGAACACCAGUGGCGAAGGCGACUCACUGGCCCAAUACUGACGCUGAGGCGCGAAAGCGUGGGGAGCAAACAGGAUUAGAUACCCGUGUAGUCC